UACAGAGGGUGCGAGCGUUAAUCGGAAUUACUGGGCGUAAAGGGUGCGUAGGUGGUGGCAUAAGUUAGGUGUGAAAGUCCUGGGCUUAACCUGGGGAUUGCGCCUAAUACUGUGAGGCUUGAGUAUUGUAGAGGAAAGUGGAAUUUCCGGUGUAGCGGUGAAAUGCGUAGAUAUCGGAAGGAACAUCAGUGGCGAAGGCGGGUCUCUGGGCCGAUACUGACGCUGAGGAGCGAAAGCGUGGGGAGCGAACAGG
This 253-nucleotide ribosomal RNA is filed under the name uncultured bacterium. Its description in RNAcentral is "partial 16S ribosomal RNA". It matches the Rfam family "Bacterial small subunit ribosomal RNA", at positions 524 to 776 of the family's 1533-position model. The record is from RNAcentral.